UGCAGUCGAACGAGAUCUUCGGGUCUAGUGGCGCACGGGUGCGUAACGCGUGGGAAUCUGCCCUUUGGUUCGGAAUAACAGUUGGAAACGACAGCUAAUACCGGAUGAUGACGAAAGUCCAAAGAUUUAUCGCCAGAGGAUGAGCCCGCGUAGGAUUAGCUAGUUGGUGUGGUAAAGGCGCACCAAGGCGACGAUCCUUAGCUGGUCUGAGAGGAUGAUCAGCCACACUGGGACUGAGACACGGCCCAGACUCCUACGGGAGGCAGCAGUGGGGAAUAUUGGACAAUGGGCGAAAGCCUGAUCCAGCAAUGCCGCGUGAGUGAUGAAGGCCUUAGGGUUGUAAAGCUCUUUUACCCGGGAUGAUAGUGACAGUACCGGGAGAAUAAGCUCCGGCUAACUCCGUGCCAGCAGCCGCGGUAAUACGGAGGGAGCUAGCGUUGUUCGGAAUUACUGGGCGUAAAGCGCACGUAGGCGGCUUUGUAAGUUAGAGGUGAAAGCCUGGAGCUCAACUCCAGAACUGCCUUUAAGACUGCAUCGCUUGAAUCCAGGAGAGGUGAGUGGAAUUCCGAGUGUAGAGGUGAAAUUCGUAGAUAUUCGGAAGAACACCAGUGGCGAAGGCGGCUCACUGGA
RNAcentral lists this ribosomal RNA (630 nucleotides) under uncultured bacterium. Its description in RNAcentral is "bacterial SSU rRNA". It matches the Rfam family "Bacterial small subunit ribosomal RNA", at positions 56 to 733 of the family's 1533-position model. The record is from RNAcentral.